This 1375-nucleotide ribosomal RNA is filed under the name Escherichia coli. RNAcentral's name for it is "partial 23S ribosomal RNA". It matches the Rfam family "Bacterial large subunit ribosomal RNA", at positions 371 to 1751 of the family's 2925-position model. Lineage: Bacteria; Pseudomonadati; Pseudomonadota; Gammaproteobacteria; Enterobacterales; Enterobacteriaceae. The record is from RNAcentral.
CCCCGUACACAAAAAUGCACAUGCUGUGAGCUCGAUGAGUAGGGCGGGACACGUGGUAUCCUGUCUGAAUAUGGGGGGACCAUCCUCCAAGGCUAAAUACUCCUGACUGACCGAUAGUGAACCAGUACCGUGAGGGAAAGGCGAAAAGAACCCCGGCGAGGGGAGUGAAAAAGAACCUGAAACCGUGUACGUACAAGCAGUGGGAGCACGCUUAGGCGUGUGACUGCGUACCUUUUGUAUAAUGGGUCAGCGACUUAUAUUCUGUAGCAAGGUUAACCGAAUAGGGGAGCCGAAGGGAAACCGAGUCUUAACUGGGCGUUAAGUUGCAGGGUAUAGACCCGAAACCCGGUGAUCUAGCCAUGGGCAGGUUGAAGGUUGGGUAACACUAACUGGAGGACCGAACCGACUAAUGUUGAAAAAUUAGCGGAUGACUUGUGGCUGGGGGUGAAAGGCCAAUCAAACCGGGAGAUAGCUGGUUCUCCCCGAAAGCUAUUUAGGUAGCGCCUCGUGAAUUCAUCUCCGGGGGUAGAGCACUGUUUCGGCAAGGGGGUCAUCCCGACUUACCAACCCGAUGCAAACUGCGAAUACCGGAGAAUGUUAUCACGGGAGACACACGGCGGGUGCUAACGUCCGUCGUGAAGAGGGAAACAACCCAGACCGCCAGCUAAGGUCCCAAAGUCAUGGUUAAGUGGGAAACGAUGUGGGAAGGCCCAGACAGCCAGGAUGUUGGCUUAGAAGCAGCCAUCAUUUAAAGAAAGCGUAAUAGCUCACUGGUCGAGUCGGCCUGCGCGGAAGAUGUAACGGGGCUAAACCAUGCACCGAAGCUGCGGCAGCGACGCUUAUGCGUUGUUGGGUAGGGGAGCGUUCUGUAAGCCUGUGAAGGUGUGCUGUGAGGCAUGCUGGAGGUAUCAGAAGUGCGAAUGCUGACAUAAGUAACGAUAAAGCGGGUGAAAAGCCCGCUCGCCGGAAGACCAAGGGUUCCUGUCCAACGUUAAUCGGGGCAGGGUGAGUCGACCCCUAAGGCGAGGCCGAAAGGCGUAGUCGAUGGGAAACAGGUUAAUAUUCCUGUACUUGGUGUUACUGCGAAGGGGGGACGGAGAAGGCUAUGUUGGCCGGGCGACGGUUGUCCCGGUUUAAGCGUGUAGGCUGGUUUUCCAGGCAAAUCCGGAAAAUCAAGGCUGAGGCGUGAUGACGAGGCACUACGGUGCUGAAGCAACAAAUGCCCUGCUUCCAGGAAAAGCCUCUAAGCAUCAGGUAACAUCAAAUCGUACCCCAAACCGACACAGGUGGUCAGGUAGAGAAUACCAAGGCGCUUGAGAGAACUCGGGUGAAGGAACUAGGCAAAAUGGUGCCGUAACUUCGGGAGAAGGCACGC